UACGGAGGGCGCAAGCGUUUUUCGGAAUUACUGGGCGUAAAGCGCGUGUAGGCGGCCAGGUAAGUCGGAUGUGAAAGCCCGGGGCCCAACCCCGAAACUGCACCCGAUACUGCCCGGCUGGAGUCCCGGAGAGGAUGGCGGAAUUUCCGGUGUAGAGGUGAAAUUCGUAGAUAUCGGAAGGAACACCAGUGGCGAAGGCGGCCAUCUGGACGGUGACUGACGCUGAGACGCGAAAGCGUGGGGAGCAAACAGG
RNAcentral lists this ribosomal RNA (253 nucleotides) under uncultured bacterium. RNAcentral's name for it is "partial 16S ribosomal RNA". It matches the Rfam family "Bacterial small subunit ribosomal RNA", at positions 524 to 776 of the family's 1533-position model. The record is from RNAcentral.